CCUACGUGUGGCAGCAGUGAGGAAUAUUGGUCAAUGGGCGCAAGCCUGAACCAGCCAAGUAGCGUGCGGGAUGAAGGCCCUAUGGGUCGUAAACCGCUUUUUCACGGGGAUAACCGGCGGGUCGAGACCCGCCCUGCAGGUACCGUGCGAAUAAGGACCGGCUAAUUCCGUGCCAGCAGCCGCGGUAAUACGGAAGGUCCUGGCGUUAUCCGGAUUUAUUGGGUUUAAAGGGAGCGCAGGCCGCCCCUUAAGCGUGUUGUGAAAACCGGGCGCCCAACGCCCGGCGUGCAGCGCGAACUGGGGGGCUUGAGUGCGAGCGACGCCGGCGGAAUUCGUCGUGUAGCGGUGAAAUGCUUAGAUAUGACGAGGAACCCCGAUUGCGAAGGCAGCCGGCGAGGGCGCAACUGACGCUGAUGCUCGAAGGCGCGGGUAUCGAACAGGAUUAGAUACCCUGGUAGUC
This 460-nucleotide ribosomal RNA is filed under the name uncultured Prevotella sp. RNAcentral describes it as "bacterial SSU rRNA". It matches the Rfam family "Bacterial small subunit ribosomal RNA", at positions 338 to 795 of the family's 1533-position model. Lineage: Bacteria; Pseudomonadati; Bacteroidota; Bacteroidia; Bacteroidales; Prevotellaceae. The record is from RNAcentral.